GCAUGCAACGGACAGGGCGAGAAGAAGGCAACGGCGGCGAGAAUUCACGGUAAACAAACGGUAACGGUGGAAGAAAAGAAGGUAGACGUGAGUGAGGAAGAGGUGGGUUUUGGGUUUGAUGUGUGUGUGAAUCGGAGAGGAAAACAGAAACGGAACAGAGAGGGAAGGGUCUGGAGCUAGGUUUUUUGCCAAAAUAGUC
Molecule: long non-coding RNA, 199 nt
Organism: Rhododendron vialii
Lineage: Eukaryota; Viridiplantae; Streptophyta; Magnoliopsida; Ericales; Ericaceae
Exons: 2
Source: RefSeq, a predicted model, not a curated record